UACGGAGGGUGCAAGCGUUGUCCGGAUUUACUGGGCGUAAAGCGUGCGCAGGCGGUUUUGUAAGUCUGUCGUGAAAGCCCCGGGCUCAACCUGGGAAUUGCGAUGGAGACUGCAAGGCUUGAAUCUGGCAGAGGGGGGUAGAAUUCCACGUGUAGCAGUGAAAUGCGUAGAGAUGUGGAGGAACACCGAUGGCGAAGGCAGCCCCCUGGGUCAAGAUUGACGCUCAUGCACGAAAGCGUGGGGAGCAAACAGG
Molecule: ribosomal RNA, 253 nt
Filed under: uncultured bacterium
Lineage: Bacteria
Description: partial 16S ribosomal RNA
Rfam family: Bacterial small subunit ribosomal RNA
Source: RNAcentral